UACGGGGGGGGCAAGCGUUGUUCGGAAUUACUGGGCGUAAAGGGCUCGUAGGCGGCCAACUAAGUCAGACGUGAAAUCCCUCGGCUUAACCGGGGAACUGCGUCUGAUACUGGAUGGCUUGAAUCCGGGAGAGGGAUGCGGAAUUCCAGGUGUAGCGGUGAAAUGCGUAGAUAUCGUAAGGAGGACCAGUGGCGAAGGCGGGUCUCUGGACAGUUCCUGACGCUGAAGCACGAAGGCCAGGGGAGCAAACGGG
RNAcentral lists this ribosomal RNA (253 nucleotides) under uncultured bacterium. RNAcentral's name for it is "partial 16S ribosomal RNA". It matches the Rfam family "Bacterial small subunit ribosomal RNA", at positions 524 to 776 of the family's 1533-position model. The record is from RNAcentral.